AUGGCUUCACCGGUGAGCAAGGGGUCUACGGUUGCCUCUAAUGUUGCAAGUUCUCAUACUCUCAAAAGAAAUUCAGAUGACAUGGGGUGGGAGUUUGCAACCUUGAUCAAUCCUUUAGAUCUACAGCGAGUGAAGUGCAUGUUGUGUGGAAAGGAGAUGGGUGGAGGCGUCAAUAGGAUGAAGCAACAUAUUGGGCAGGUAAAGGGGAGCGUGAAAAGUUGCAAUAUGGCCACAUCGGAUCAGCAGAAAAGGUGUAAGGAUGCUUAUGAGGAACCACAAAAGAAGAAGAAGCUGGAAGAAAAACAUGAUGAAGAAGUACGUGCUGAGGUUGUCAUUCAAGUUGAUGAUGACAAGAACGAGGAAGAGCUUCAUGCAAUUGGAGAAGGUGAAGCUCGCAAGUCAGGACCUAUUGAUAAAUAUGUGAUGCCAAUUGAUCCUUCCAUUCCAUUGAAGAAGUUCCAACAGAACAUAAAUGAUGCAUCAAGGUUUUUGAGCCAUUGGUGA
This 504-nucleotide ribosomal RNA is filed under the name Triticum aestivum (bread wheat). RNAcentral's name for it is "partial small subunit ribosomal RNA". The record is from RNAcentral. Lineage: Eukaryota; Viridiplantae; Streptophyta; Magnoliopsida; Poales; Poaceae.